RNAcentral lists this non-coding RNA (22 nucleotides) under Arabidopsis thaliana (thale cress). The record is from RNAcentral. Lineage: Eukaryota; Viridiplantae; Streptophyta; Magnoliopsida; Brassicales; Brassicaceae.
UCCAGAAGGAAUGAGAUGCCAC